Molecule: ribosomal RNA, 253 nt
Filed under: uncultured bacterium
Lineage: Bacteria
Description: partial 16S ribosomal RNA
Rfam family: Bacterial small subunit ribosomal RNA
Source: RNAcentral
UACGUAGGGCGCGAGCGUUGUCCGGAUUUACUGGGCGUAAAGGGCUCGUAGGCGGUCCGUCGCGUCGGCUGUGAAAGACCGCAGCUCAACUGCGGAAACGCAGUCGAUACGGGCGGACUAGAGGACGGUAGAGGCAAGCGGAAUUCCUGGUGUAGCGGUGAAAUGCGCAGAUAUCAGGAGGAACACCGAUGGCGAAGGCAGCUUGCUGGGCCGUUCCUGACGCUGAGGAGCGAAAGCGUGGGGAGCGAACAGG